Non-coding RNA from Aegilops tauschii subsp. strangulata, 1672 nucleotides. The record is from RefSeq and is a predicted model, not a curated record. Lineage: Eukaryota; Viridiplantae; Streptophyta; Magnoliopsida; Poales; Poaceae.
ACUAAAGGCCACCGCCCACCCCGGCCUUUUUUCGCGAGAUUCAAUCGACUCUCCUAUAUCCCACAACUGCGGCGAUCAGGGCCGGCAGAUUGGGGGUGGCCGCCCGCCGGCGGACCUUGAAUCCACCACACAACCAUCCCCACGAGCACUCCGCUCUAUCCCCCUGCUCGCAGCGACCGGCGACGGCGGAUUGGAGGAGGCCGCCCGACCGGCCGAGCUCAGAUCCACUACAUCAACCAGCGACAGCGGAUUGGAGGAGGCCUCCCCACCUGUCUCUCUUUCCCCACAGAUUGCAGCGACCAGCGUCGGCUGACGAAUAAAGACCGAGUCUGCACUUGUUCGAAACUGAAUAAAGGCCGAGUCUGCACUUGUUCUUGUUUAACUGAAUUCUGGAUGCUCCAUAUUUCCAACUUCAAUUACUAAAAUCAUGCCACCAGUUCUGGAGAGUGAUAUGCAUAGCAGGGAAUAUCUUGCGGAACAGAAAUGCAAGGGUGAGGCAUAUUUGAAGGAAAGGGAUGCAAGGAUUGCGGAACACAAGGCUGCGGAGCAGGAGUCUCUUAAAGACAUACAAAGCAUAGCUCGUAGCCUUGUAUACCCUAGUGCUCCUAAUGCGCAACUGACACAGAAGGCACGAGGUGCUGAUGAUUGCAGUGACUUAGAGUAUGAACCAGAUGCUGAAGAGGAGGCCUAUGUAGAGGAAGAGGAUUUGAGAGGUGAAGAGGAGGUCGCUCUUCCUAAGUCCAAAGCAAUGGAAGCAUUAUCAAAUAAGCCACCCAACAUUACUCAUGAGAAUUGGACUAGCCUUGUCAAUAAAUGGUCUGAUAAAAGAAACAAGAAAAUAUGUCAAAUGAAUAAGGAAAACCGAGAAGCUGUCAGGCAACACCAAAAGACGGGAUCUAUGUCCUAUGUUUCCUAUUUCAGCAAACUUAAAAAAGACAAGUACAAUAAUCAUGACCCAAGUCCCAUUGAGUUUUUUAAAGACACCCAUACAAACAGCAAGACUGAUAGCAUGAGCUGAGUCAGGACUUCUAGCUCAUAAUGCGAUGGAAAAGAGAAGGGAAGCACAAUCAGAAGGUGAGCAGCCAGUAUCCGAUACAUCAAUUGUGGCUGAAGUUCUAAAGGAAGAAAGCGCCCAUAGCACCGUCCUUUCUAGCAUGGGGUAUGCAUCAAGAUCCGGGAGGUCUGGGAGCUCUACUUUAUGAGCCUAGAUCCGAUUUCUAGAAGAAAGAAUUGAAUAGAAGGAUAGAGAGGCAAGAGAUGCAAAUGACAGGCAUCGGGAGGAGUUAGUCGCAAGACUUGAAGCACGAGAGAGAGCAUUUCAAGAGAUACAAAAGAAGCAAUAAGAAGAAUUGGAAGCUCUAAAGAAGAGCCGGCAAGAGAAGAAUGAAGCCUGGGCAAAGAAGCAAAAGGAGACGGACAAUCUGCUUGAUUUUUUCAGGGCUCAAGCAACUCAGCAAGCAACUCAGCAGUCCCAGUCCCAACCAGAUGGUUCAUGAAUGCCAUCCUUACAUUGCAAUCAUCAGGAUAACAUAUGUGGUCUUUAGUUAAUAUUAGUUUUCAUCUUGUCUAUUGUCUGUGUUAAACUUGAGUCCGUUUUUUACCGCCAUUUUUGUUUACAGAAUGAUUUGGCUGAGAUGAUUUCAUACAUAAUAUGAUUUGUCUUUGAUAUCAA